RNAcentral lists this unclassified non-coding RNA (378 nucleotides) under uncultured Chlamydiales bacterium. Its description in RNAcentral is "contains 16S-23S intergenic spacer region". Lineage: Bacteria; Pseudomonadati; Chlamydiota; Chlamydiia; Chlamydiales. The record is from RNAcentral.
UCCUGGUUAACCCAGGCAGUCUCGUUAGAGUCCCCAGCAUUACCUGUUGGCAACUAACAAUAAGGGUUGCGCUCGUUGCGGGACUUAACCCAACACCUCACGGCACGAGCUGACGACAGCCAUGCAGCACCUGUGCAGCGGUCCCGAAGGAACAGACUAUCUCUAGCCUUUGCCACUGCAUGUCAAGCCCAGGUAAGGUUCUUCGCGUUGCAUCGAAUUAAACCACAUGUUCCACCGCUUGUGCGGGUCCCCGUCAAUUCUUUUGAGUUUCACCCUUGCGAGCGUACUCCCCAGGCGGCAUACUUAUCGCGUUUGCUUCGGCACAGUCGGGGUUGAAACCAACUACACCAAGUAUGCAUCGUUUACGGCAAGGACUAC